Molecule: long non-coding RNA, 878 nt
Organism: Schistocerca cancellata (South American locust)
Lineage: Eukaryota; Metazoa; Arthropoda; Insecta; Orthoptera; Acrididae
Exons: 3
Source: RefSeq, a predicted model, not a curated record
GGAGCGCAGGACGGCGCGCCGGCACUUCACUGUGGGCCAUGGAACGAGCUGCAGUCAUCAUGCUUCUCGUCCUGCAGCUCUGCGCUGGCCUUGUUCACAGAACACUGCACACUGGCAGUUUCAGUAACAUUACAUCAACUGGGCUGUUAGGUGGCCUGGCCUUCCUGCUUCAGGCAUAGUCAAGUCUCCACAAUGUGACUUUUACAGACAUCUGUUCAUUUUUCAUCACUGAGCAAAGCUGGAAAUCUUGACACUUGUCGAUAUUGCAUUCCUGGGACACAAUUGGCCUGCAAGUGGCCCACUGUGACGUCGACUGAAUUAAGACUUGCGCUUGGCGGCCGAACUUCCCAGAUAGGGGCCUCCCGGCCAACGAUGCCUUACGCCCAUUUCAUUUUUUUCCUGGGACACACAAUUCAGCCACUUACAUUAGAGCAGUUAUGGAAAAUACAAGUGAAACAAAUGGAUGCUAUGUUCUCACACAAGAUACUGAUGUCUGGAGACAGUCAGUGCAUGGAAUUUGAGAUUUAGACCUUACGAUUUGUGACUACCCUGGCACCAAGGCAGCUAACUACCUAUGCUCCUGCCACACAAGAUGAUGACUGGUACGUACAGUAGUAUAAAAAACUAAUUAAGUAGCUUCAUUAAUUAUCUGCAUUAUUAAAUGUUUGUAGUGAAGGACAUUCAGGAAGUAUAUGCCAUGAAAUAAAUCCUGUUUAUGUAAUUAAUUUUACAUUUUUUUGUGACUUAUGUUUUGUUCAUCUCAUGAUGUACACCUGAAAACCACUUGGUUCAUAUGAAGGAAACAUAUUAAAAAUUUGUAUUAUAUUUGCUGUAAUAUAUGUAAUAUAACACCAAAAUGAUAUUUCUGUGAAUAAACA